This 315-nucleotide long non-coding RNA is filed under the name Callithrix jacchus (white-tufted-ear marmoset). Its description in RNAcentral is "lncRNA (ENSCJAG00000072280.1)". The record is from RNAcentral. Lineage: Eukaryota; Metazoa; Chordata; Mammalia; Primates; Cebidae.
CUUAACUGAGUCCUGAGUUUAAUUAGUUCCUUAUGUGCCUGGUGUUUUUCUGUUUUGCAGUUCAUUCUGUACAGCCACAGAAAUGAAUAAUAAAAGCUGAACUAAAUCUUACCAGAGAAACACAACAGGAUUCAAAAAAAGAUGUACUUGAAAUCAUCAUUUAGAGUUGACAGGAAGCAGAAUUUACUCCAUCUUGCUCUUCAGAAGACACUUAGUGGACAGCUCUGUGGCAAAACAAGGGUGAAGCAAAAUAUAAGCUGCAAAAAGUGGAAAACUGAAGGACCUGACAUCCCCUCCAUCAUUCUCCAGGCCUGA